GGGGGAUAACGUAGCGAAAGUUGCGCUAAUACCGCAUAUUCUGUGAGCAGGAAAGCAGGGGACCGCAAGGCCUUGCGCUCUUUGAGCGGCCGAUGUCAGAUUAGCUAGUUGGUGAGGUAAAGGCUUACCAAGGCGACGAUCUGUAGCGGGUCUGAGAGGAUGAUCCGCCACACUGGAACUGAGACACGGUCCAGACUCCUACGGGAGGCAGCAGUGGGGAAUUUUGGACAAUGGGGGCAACCCUGAUCCAGCCAUGCCGCGUGAGUGAAGAAGGCCUUCGGGUUGUAAAGCUCUUUCGGCCGGGAAGAAAUCGCAUGGGCCAAUACCCUGUGUGGAUGACGGUACCGGAAUAAGAAGCACCGGCUAACUACGUGCCAGCAGCCGCGGUAAUACGUAGGGUGCGAGCGUUAAUCGGAAUUACUGGGCGUAAAGCGUGCGCAGGCGGUUUUGUAAGACAGGCGUGAAAUCCCCGGGCUUAACCUGGGAACUGCGUUUGUGACUGCAAGGCUAGAGUACGGCAGAGGGGGGUGGAAUUCCACGUGUAGCAGUGAAAUGCGUAGAGAUGUGGAGGAACACCAAUGGCGAAGGCAGCCCCCUGGGUCGAUACUGACGCUCAUGCACGAAAGCGUGGGUAGCAAACAGGAUUAGAUACCCUGGUAGUCCACGCCCUAAACUAUGUCAACUAGGUGUUGGGUGGGUAAAACCAUUUAGUACCGUAGCUAACGCGUGAAGUUGACCGCCUGGGGAGUACGGCCGCAAGGUUAAAACUCAAAGGAAUUGACGGGGACCCGCACAAGCGGUGGAUGAUGUGGAUUAAUUCGAUGCAACGCGAAAAACCUUACCUACCCUUGACAUGCCAGGAACUUGCCAGAGAUGGCUUGGUGCCCGAAAGGGAGCCUGGACACAGGUGCUGCAUGGCUGUCGUCAGCUCGUGUCGUGAGAUGUUGGGUUAAGUCCCGCAACGAGCGCAACCCUUGUCGUUAAUUGCCAUCAUUUAGUUGGGCACUUUAACGAGACUGCCGGUGACAAACCGGAGGAAGGUGGGGAUGACGUCAAGUCCUCAUGGCCCUUAUGGGUAGGGCUUCACACGUCAUACAAUGGUCGGUACAAAGGGUCGCCAAGCCGCGAGGCGGAGCCAAUCCCAGAAAGCCGAUCGUAGUCCGGAUUGCAGGCUGCAACUCGCCUGCAUGAAGUCGGAAUCGCUAGUAAUCGUGGAUCAGCAUGUCACGGUGAAUACGUUCCCGGGUCUUGUACACACCGCCCGUCACACCAUGGGAGCGGGUUCCGCCAGAAGUAGGUAGCCUAACCGCAAGGGGGGCGCUUACCACGGCGGGGUUCGUGACU
This 1344-nucleotide ribosomal RNA is filed under the name metagenome. RNAcentral describes it as "bacterial SSU rRNA". It matches the Rfam family "Bacterial small subunit ribosomal RNA", at positions 138 to 1476 of the family's 1533-position model. The record is from RNAcentral.